AGAGUUUGAUCAUGGCUCAGGACGAACGCUGGCGGCGUGCUUAACACAUGCAAGUCGAACGGAGUUUAGGUCAGUAGUUUACUACAGAUUUAAACUUAGUGGCGGACGGGUGAGUAACACGUGGGCAACCUGCCCUAAAGAGGGGGAUAACACCGAGAAAUCGGUGCUAAUACCGCAUGACAUUAGAGCUUCGCAUGGAGCUUUAAUCAAAGGAGCAAUCCGCUUUAGGAUGGGCCCGCGUCUGAUUAGCUAGUUGGUGAGGUAGAGGCUCACCAAGGCGACGAUCAGUAGCCGAUCUGAGAGGAUGACCGGCCACACUGGAACUGAGACACAGUCCAGACUCCUACGGGAGGCAGCAGUGGGGAAUAUUGCACAAUGGGGGAAACCCUGAUGCAGCAACGCCGCGUGGAGGAAGAAGGUUU
RNAcentral lists this ribosomal RNA (422 nucleotides) under uncultured bacterium. RNAcentral's name for it is "bacterial SSU rRNA". It matches the Rfam family "Bacterial small subunit ribosomal RNA", at positions 8 to 417 of the family's 1533-position model. The record is from RNAcentral.